RNAcentral lists this ribosomal RNA (503 nucleotides) under Escherichia coli. RNAcentral describes it as "partial 23S ribosomal RNA". It matches the Rfam family "Bacterial large subunit ribosomal RNA", at positions 1273 to 1783 of the family's 2925-position model. The record is from RNAcentral. Lineage: Bacteria; Pseudomonadati; Pseudomonadota; Gammaproteobacteria; Enterobacterales; Enterobacteriaceae.
CUGGAGGUAUCAGAAGUGCGAAUGCUGACAUAAGUAACGAUAAAGCGGGUGAAAAGCCCGCUCGCCGGAAGACCAAGGGUUCCUGUCCAACGUUAAUCGGGGCAGGGUGAGUCGACCCCUAAGGCGAGGCCGAAAGGCGUAGUCGAUGGGAAACAGGUUAAUAUUCCUGUACUUGGUGUUACUGCGAAGGGGGGACGGAGAAGGCUAUGUUGGCCGGGCGACGGUUGUCCCGGUUUAAGCGUGUAGGCUGGUUUUCCAGGCAAAUCCGGAAAAUCAAGGCUGAGGCGUGAUGACGAGGCACUACGGUGCUGAAGCAACAAAUGCCCUGCUUCCAGGAAAAGCCUCUAAGCAUCAGGUAACAUCAAAUCGUACCCCAAACCGACACAGGUGGUCAGGUAGAGAAUACCAAGGCGCUUGAGAGAACUCGGGUGAAGGAACUAGGCAAAAUGGUGCCGUAACUUCGGGAGAAGGCACGCUGAUAUGUAGGUGAAGUCCCUCGCGGA